GAGUUUGAUCCUGGCUCAGGAUGAACGCUAGCGGGAGGCUUAAUACAUGCAAGUCGAGGGGUAGAAUUGUUUUCGGAUGAUUUGAGACCGGCGGACGGGUGAGUAACGCGUACACUACCUACCUUUUACUGAGGGAUAGCCUUUGGAAACGAAGAGUAAUACCUCAUGGUCCCUACGGGGUAAAGUUCAGGCGGUAAGAGAUGGGUGUGCGUACCAUUAGCUAGUUGGUAAGGUAACUGCUUACCAAGGCUACGAUGGUUAGGGGGCGUGAGAGCGUGAUCCCCCACACGGGUACUGAGACACGGACCCGACUCCUACGGGAGGCAGCAGUAAGGAAUAUUGGACAAUGGGGGCAACCCUGAUCCAGCCAUCCCGCGUGCAGGAUGACGGCCCUAUGGGUUGUAAACUGCUUUUAUCAGGGAAGAAUAGCAAUUAUUUAUGAUUGUAUGACGGUACCUGAGGAAUAAGCACCGGCUAACUCCGUGCCAGCAGCCGCGGUAAUACGGAGGGUGCAAGCGUUAUCCGGAAUCACUGGGUUUAAAGGGUGCGUAGGCCGCUAUGUUAAGUCA
This 569-nucleotide ribosomal RNA is filed under the name uncultured bacterium. Its description in RNAcentral is "bacterial SSU rRNA". It matches the Rfam family "Bacterial small subunit ribosomal RNA", at positions 9 to 590 of the family's 1533-position model. The record is from RNAcentral.